AACGAACGCUGGCGGCAUGCCUAACACAUGCAAGUCGAACGAAGGCUUCGGCCUUAGUGGCCCACGAGUGAGUAACGCGUGGGAAACUGCCUAUUGGUGGGGAAUAACGACGGGAAACUGUCGCUAAUACCGCAUAAGCCCUUCGGGGGAAAGAUUUAUCGCCGAUAGAUGUGCCCGCGUCCGAUUAGCUAGUUGGUGAGGUAAUGGCUCACCAAGGCGACGAUCGGUAGCUGGUCUGAGAGGAUGAUCAGCCACACUGGGACUGAGACACGGCCCAGACUCCCACGGGAGGCAGCAGUGGGGAAUAUUGGACAAUGGGCGAAAGCCUGAUCCAGCAAUGCCGCGUGAGUGAUGAAGGCCUUAGGGUUGUAAAGCUCUUUCGGGUGGGACGAUGAUGACGGUACCACCAGAAGAAGCCCCGGCUAACUUCGUGCCAGCCGCCGCUGUAA
RNAcentral lists this ribosomal RNA (449 nucleotides) under uncultured bacterium. RNAcentral's name for it is "partial 16S ribosomal RNA". It matches the Rfam family "Bacterial small subunit ribosomal RNA", at positions 29 to 523 of the family's 1533-position model. The record is from RNAcentral.